GAUGAACGCUGGCGGCGUGCCUAAUACAUGCAAGUCGAGCGAACAGAUAAGGAGCUUGCUCCUUUGACGUUAGCGGCGGACGGGUGAGUAACACGUGGGUAACCUACCUAUAAGGCUGGAAUAACUCCGGGAAACCGGGGCUAAUGCCGGAUAACAUUUAGAACCGCAUGGUUCUAAAGUGAAAGAUGGUUUUGCUAUCACUUAUAGAUGGACCCGCGCCGUAUUAGCUAGUUGGUAAGGUAACGGCUUACCAAGGCAACGAUACGUAGCCGACCUGAGAGGGUGAUCGGCCACACUGGAACUGAGACACGGUCCAGACUCCUACGGGAGGCAGCAGUAGGGAAUCUUCCGCAAUGGGCGAAAGCCUGACGGAGCAACGCCGCGUGAGUGAUGAAGGUCUUCGGAUCGUAAAACUCUGUUAUUAGGGAAGAACAAAUGUGUAAGUAACUGUGCACGUCUUGACGGUACCUAAUCAGAAAGCCACGGCUAACUACGUG
RNAcentral lists this ribosomal RNA (497 nucleotides) under uncultured bacterium. RNAcentral's name for it is "partial 16S ribosomal RNA". It matches the Rfam family "Bacterial small subunit ribosomal RNA", at positions 28 to 507 of the family's 1533-position model. The record is from RNAcentral.